AGCAGCCGCGGUAAUUCCAGCUCCAAUAGCGUAUAUUAAAGUUGUUGCAGUUAAAAAGCUCGUAGUUGAAUUUCGGGGUUAGUAGGUUGGUCAUGCCUCUGGUAUGUACUGGUCUCACUGAUUCCUCCAUCCUGAUGAACCUUAAUGCCAUUAAUUUGGUGUUUUGGGGAAUUUGGACUGUUACUUUGAAAAAAUUAGAGUGUUUAAAGCAAGCUAACGCUUGAAUACAUUAGCAUGGAAUAAUGAAAUAGGACGUUCGAUCCUAUUUUGUUGGUUUCUAGGAUUGACGUAAUGAUUAAUAGGGAUAGUUGGGGGCAUUAGUAUUCAAUUGUCAGAGGUGAAAUUCUUGGAUUUAUUGAAGACUAACUACUGCGAAAGCAUUUGCCAAGGAUGUUUUCAUUAAUCAAGAACGAAAGUUAGGGGAUCGAAGACGAUCAGAUACCGUCGUAGUCUUAACCAUAAACUAUGCCGACUAGGGAUCGGAUGAUGUUAAUUUUUAAUGU
RNAcentral lists this ribosomal RNA (503 nucleotides) under uncultured Glomus. RNAcentral's name for it is "SSU rRNA". It matches the Rfam family "Eukaryotic small subunit ribosomal RNA", at positions 569 to 1076 of the family's 1831-position model. The record is from RNAcentral. Lineage: Eukaryota; Fungi; Glomeromycota; Glomeromycetes; Glomerales; Glomeraceae.